This is a long non-coding RNA of Sceloporus undulatus (fence lizard), 887 nucleotides long. RefSeq lists it as uncharacterized. The transcript has 2 exons. The record is from RefSeq and is a predicted model, not a curated record. Lineage: Eukaryota; Metazoa; Chordata; Lepidosauria; Squamata; Phrynosomatidae.
GGGGAGAGGAGAAGAGAGGAGGAGGAGGAGGAAGAAGGUGGCGCAGGAACUUUCCUUGCCCGCUGGUCCAGUUGGUCGAAGGCAGAGGAGGAGGAAGGGGUCUGCGAGGGCCGGGUGACCAGACGCCCUCCUUUUCCAGGACAUGUCCUACAUGUCAGGCUUCUGUUCAGGAGGAACUUCCACAAGGGCUGCUGCCCUUCCCUCUGAGGGGACUCUGACUAAGGAGAAGACAAAAGGGCAACUCUGCGGAAGGAAGGGAGGGAGGAAGGAAGCCUUACCCAGAGGAGAGGUAAGGAGCUGGAGAAUCCGUGGGCGAGGAAGCGAAAGCCUUGCCUUCUUUCCUCUGGAGUCCAGGGUUCAAAUCCUGGCUUGGCCAUGAAAGCCCCACCUUGGGCAAAUCCCACUCUCUCAGCCUCAGAGGAAGGCAAGGGCAAACCUUCCUCUGAACAAAUCCUGGCAAGAAAAUCCUAUGGAAUUGAUCACACUGGAGCUAGUUUCAGCACUGAAGAGAGAUGAAAGCGCAUUUGAAGCAUCCCACAGAUAAAGCAAAAACGCAACAGCAGGAGUGUGAAUUCGUCAAACUUCCACAACACUGGAGAUUUAACCCUGAUCAUCAAUCAAGAUGUGAACCUUCAUCAUGCUACUGUAAUGGGAUCACAUUUAUCCUACAAUAAAUGCAGAGAAGGGAUUUGGAGAUGAUGGAGACUUCGUCAUUAAGUUGUAGCUUAAUCAAUUCUAAUAUACCACAACUUCCUGGUAUGAUCUUGUUGGAGAUAUUUUCACCAGCUGUUAUCUUUAUCUGUAGGAGCCUAACAAACCAGGAUGUUUUCUUUAAUGUGGAUGCAAAUGGACUUGAUGAAAUUAAACCUGACAUCUUUAGCCUUGGA